GAGUUAGAGAAACCUGGGUAGUGAUGGAGCAUAUUAAGGGUGGAUCACUGGACAAGUAAUUUUAUAUCUGUGAUGCAGAGGUAAGUAAUAGUACUCGACGUAAAAGGAUGUGGUGAGAAAUGUAUUUAGAACACGAAUGUAGUAUCUAGCACGCGCUAAAUGUGCAAUGUCAGCUAUCACAACUGUUCCUAUUUAAAAGGCGUUCCUAUUUAAAAUAUUCCCUGUUUAAAGUGUGUAUGCUGGGGGUUGGUGGUGGUAGAAAUGGUCUAACAGAAGCUGAGUGUGUAGUCAUGGAGGAAGACACCCCUAAAGUCUCUCCCCUGGGACAAGAGCUCCUGCC
This 340-nucleotide long non-coding RNA is filed under the name Bos taurus (domestic cattle). RNAcentral's name for it is "long non-coding RNA NONBTAT014924". Lineage: Eukaryota; Metazoa; Chordata; Mammalia; Artiodactyla; Bovidae. The record is from RNAcentral.